Molecule: long non-coding RNA, 393 nt
Filed under: Ananas comosus (pineapple)
Lineage: Eukaryota; Viridiplantae; Streptophyta; Magnoliopsida; Poales; Bromeliaceae
Description: long non-coding RNA (ACOM_LNC038722)
Source: RNAcentral
UGAAGUUGCUCUCGAGGACCGGUCUCUGGAGGUGAGAGACCGGUCCCAUCAGCCGAAGGCUGUGGGGUUGCUGAUGCAACCGGUCCCUGGCAGAGGAGGGACCGGUCCCAGCCUGCCACAUCAGUGAGAAGAGCCGAAAAUCGGCUAAGUCCCGAAAGUAUAGCUCUCGGGAACCGGUCUCUCUGAGAGGAACCGGUCUCCCGAGAACCGGUCUCUCAGGGAGGGACCGGUUCCCGAACGCGUGUCCGCGGGGGAAGGCCCCGGGGACCGGUCCCAGGUCGGGGAGACCGGUCCCUCCGCGCGCAGGAUGCCCAGAGAGGGCUGUGUAAGAGACGAAAAGUUGAGGGGCCUUUAGGGAUAUUGUUACAAUAUGUGAGAGGGUAUUAGAGAGGG